Molecule: ribosomal RNA, 164 nt
Filed under: uncultured bacterium
Lineage: Bacteria
Description: partial 16S ribosomal RNA
Rfam family: Bacterial small subunit ribosomal RNA
Source: RNAcentral
UAGGGAAUUUUCGUCAAUGGGCGCAAGCCUGAACGAGCAAUGCCGCGUGAACGAGGAAGGUCUUCGGAUCGUAAAGUUCUGUUGAAGGGGAAAAAGAGCGGAGAGAGGAAAUGCUUUCUGGACUUGAUAUUACCCUUCGAGGAAGUCACGGCUAACUACGUGCC